GGGACAGUAGCUCAAUAGGCAGAGCGCCGGUCUCCAAAACCGGAGGUUGAAGGUUCGAGACCUUCCUGGCCCGCCA
This 76-nucleotide transfer RNA is filed under the name Polaromonas sp. Its description in RNAcentral is "tRNA-Trp". It matches the Rfam family "tRNA". Rfam says of the family: Transfer RNA (tRNA) molecules are approximately 80 nucleotides in length. The record is from RNAcentral. Lineage: Bacteria; Pseudomonadati; Pseudomonadota; Betaproteobacteria; Burkholderiales; Comamonadaceae.